Molecule: non-coding RNA, 87 nt
Organism: Tephrocybe rancida
Lineage: Eukaryota; Fungi; Basidiomycota; Agaricomycetes; Agaricales; Lyophyllaceae
Source: the annotation of a GenBank genome assembly
GGGUCGAUGGCGUAGUUGGUUAUCGCAUCUGUCUCACAUUCGUAAUGUGCACACAGGAGGUCCUCAGUUCGAGCCUGGGUCGACUCA